This is a long non-coding RNA of Nematolebias whitei (Rio pearlfish), 886 nucleotides long. RefSeq lists it as uncharacterized. Lineage: Eukaryota; Metazoa; Chordata; Actinopteri; Cyprinodontiformes; Rivulidae. The record is from RefSeq and is a predicted model, not a curated record. The transcript has 3 exons.
CCAUGUAGUUGCACUUUUUUUUUUACCAGACUGCCCACUACUCCCAACUCCAGCUGCCAACUGGUCCUCCUGUACUGGCCCGCACAAGAGAUUUACAAAGAUGACACAGACAAAGAACACAGGGAAUCCAUCCUGAACCUGCCAGCGAGGUGGUGGUGGUGGUGCGAAAGCCCAAAACUGUGGUGAAAAGAUGUUUGCACUCCACGCUUUACAGGGCUUUCACAGGACCACUUCCAGAUCCUGACAUCCUGGCAUCGGGAGAAAAACCACCAGCUGGAGUCCCAACCACUUAUCACACUUAUCCUAGAGAUGGUCUCUCAGCUUUGGAGCUGGUACCAUCCAGACUUGGGCCUGUGCCACAGGGCUCACUGAGGUCUCACCAGUGCCCACCUGUGAAGUCCUGCGCAGCAUCAUUCUGCACCACAUGGCUCCAGACCUCCCUGCUCUUCCAUCGAUGCUGCAUAGUCUUCCCAACAUGUGUUUUGUGGCCACACUCGAUCAACUUAUGCACCUUCAGUCUUUGCAAGUGUCACAUGAAGUACAGGCCAGAACCAGGGAGCAGUCCAGAUGUCCUGCGUGGGCUGGGCCAGAUUUUAGCAGGGGCUUACCGGGGCUGCAGCCCGGGGCCCCGGCAUUUCGGGGGCCCCGAAGGAUGUUUUAUGUUUUUGUGAAUUGAUAGUGUCAGAAUUUAAUCAAUGACUAUGAUGAUUUUGACAGCACCGAUGAAAAAUGUUCCAAUUUGUUCUGUCAAACGUCCAUCUUUAAUGCUUGCUUGUUAUUGGUCCACUUUUGACGCAUCUUACGCAUUGCGGAGGAGCGUCAGGGAAUAUUAUUUUGCAAUGGCGGACAACAGAAAAUAUGACAGUGGAGCGCAGAAAAGAAGAAA